This 468-nucleotide ribosomal RNA is filed under the name uncultured bacterium. RNAcentral's name for it is "partial 16S ribosomal RNA". It matches the Rfam family "Bacterial small subunit ribosomal RNA", at positions 28 to 507 of the family's 1533-position model. The record is from RNAcentral.
GACGAACGCUGGCGGCGUGCUUAACACAUGCAAGUCGAACGGAAAGGCCCUGCUUUUGUGGGGUGCUCGAGUGGCGAACGGGUGAGUAACACGUGAGUAACCUGCCCUUGACUUUGGGAUAACUUAAGGAAACUGGGGCUAAUACCGGAUAGGAGCUCCUGCUGCAUGGUGGGGGUUGGAAAGUUUCGGCGGUUGGGGAUGGACUCGCGGCUUAUCAGCUUGUUGGUGGGGUAGUGGCUUACCAAGGCUUGGACGGGUAGCCGGCCUGUGAGGGUGACCGGCCACAUUGGGACUGCGAUACGGCCCAGACUCCUACGGGAGGCAGCAGUGGGGAAUAUUGCACAAUGGGCGGAAGCCUGAUGCAGCAACGCCGCGUGCGGGAUGACGGCCUUCGGGUUGUAAACCGCUUUCGCCUGUGACGAAGCGUGAGUGACGGUAAUGGGUAAAGAAGCACCGGCUAACUACGUG